AGGGUUUGAUCAUGGCUCAGGACGAACGCUGGCGGUGCGCCUUAUGCAUGCAAGUCGAGCGAAGCUUUUCAGUAGUUUACUACAGAAAAUGACUGAGCGGCGAACGGGUGAGUAACGCGUGAGCAAUCUACCUUAGUUACAGGGAUAGCCCGAGGAAACUCGGAUUAAUACCUGAUAUUCUUUAUUUCUCGCAUGAGAAUAAAAGGAAAGGUCAGCCGAACUAAGAUGAGCUCGCGUUCUAUCAGCUUGUUGGUGAGGUAAAAGCUUACCAAGGCUACGACGGAUAGCUGGUCUGAGAGGACGAUCAGCCACACUGGGACUGAGACACGGCCCAGACUCCUACGGGAGGCUGCAGCAGGGAAUAUUGUGCAAUGAACGAAAGUUUGACACAGCGACACCGCGUGUGGGAUGACGGAUCUAGGUUUGUAAACCACUUUCAGGAGGGAAGAAAAUGACGGUACCUCCACAAGAAGCCCCGGCCAACUACGUGCCAGCAGCCGCGGUAAUAC
Molecule: ribosomal RNA, 509 nt
Filed under: uncultured bacterium
Lineage: Bacteria
Description: bacterial SSU rRNA
Rfam family: Bacterial small subunit ribosomal RNA
Source: RNAcentral